UUUAAUUGGCAUACAUUGUAAACUUUCCAGGGGGUUAAGAAAUGCAAUCCUUUAUUCCUGAGCAGCAAGCUAUUCAUUAUGGAAAUGGCCCCUAAUUGGCUGUCGUACCUUAUCUGGUAAGAUGCAGAGCCCAACGCCACACAACUUUAAUAUGAGGUCUAUGUAAUCACUUCUCCUGGUUAUCAAAGCAAGAUCUCCAGAGACUGAUUCCAGCAAUCUAAGAACGAGUAUGAAAUCCCUACAGCACGUAAUUGGGUAUUUUAAAGCUCCUUUUGAAUUUUUUCACACAUGUUUGUUGGUUGACUGAAAUUCAUUUGCAGGCUAUAAAGACAAAACCAAGAGCCAAAAUCAAGAGUGGAAAAGAAAAGGAAGCUCAGUGGAAAUCCAUAGUAGAGGUGCUGAGCAUAUAUGUACCUUCGAAAGCCAGAAAACCCAAUUUUUAUCUUAUAUUUGGUAACAAUAAAUUACCGCCUACAACAAUUCCCAACCCUAAGCUUGGUCAAGAUUUUAAACCCAUUCAUAUUUUUUAAUUGCUAAUAUUUCAGCUCUAUGUAAUACUUGGAAGAGAUGAGACCUAUUAGUUAUAACAGACAUUAUCAUUUUGUGUUUUCCUCUCAACUUCACUUUCUACCAUGGUUCUCAAAUGUGUUUCUUGGACCAGAAAUAUCCCCAUCACCUGGUAACAUACUAAAAAUACAACUUUGGGGCUACAGAACCAGAAACUCUGGGGAGAGGCUAAGUAAUCUCCGUAACAAGCACUCCAGGUGACUCUCAUGAAGCUUGAGACCUACCACACUACACCACGUGACAACCUCCAAACCUAUCUCUGUUCCCAAAUGCCAGAUGGGCAGAGACGCCAGAGAAAUGGCACAGACCAAAUUCAUAAAACAUCAAGGUUGUUACCUCCUUGGCAAAACUGUUCCUCUUUCUGUGCUAUCCCCCCCUAGCCAAACAUAUCGGCCUUAUUACCCGGUUUAUUAGCUAUCCAUCGCCAUGCUGUGAAUCCCCGACCUUAGCAGCUGAUGACAGUGAACACUUACUGCCUCACACGCUUGCUGAGGGUCGGGAUUCUGACGAUGGCCUGGCUGAGUGGUUCACGCUCAGAAUCUAUCAUGAGGUUGUGGUCGCGAUGUCAGGUCCUGCAGGGGCUCCUUUGGGCUGGAGAAUUGACUUCCAACGUCACUCACCUGGGCUCUUGGCUACUGUUACGAUGCCCCAGUUCCUUGCCGUGUCCAUCUCUCCAUAAAGACACUCAGGAGAAGGCAAACAAUGCUUCCCCCAGAGCAAAAAGACAGAACAACCAGAACAAGGCCAGAGGGAUCAUCCCCCCAUGGCCUGGGGUUGGAAGGCGCACACCAUCACUUCUGCUGUAUUCCGCUGGCCGAAGAGAACAACCCGGGCCCUUGCAUAUGGGAGAUAAUUCAUUCUAUUCUCCAUAAGACAAAGGGAGGAUAGUCAACGUGAGUUUGAAACAAUCAUGACUCUUCCUCUGACGAGUAAUCCUGUCUAUAAGUUCGCAGUUGGGAAACUGCCUAUCACAUCCAAGCUAUAUAGUCUUUUGAAAGACUUUACCAAAAGACAGAUGAGACCAUUUCCUUCUAUACAAUAUGGAAUCUAGAGAUACAGAAGGAGAAAGAUCUGAGCAAGAAUCAUUUCCAGAGCUUCUCAGGAGCUUCUGAAGGAUCACACAAUGAAGCAUUAGAGCAAGAAGAAUGAUUCAUAAUAAUAACAUCAAAGAUUUGACUGAACACCUAAGCACAAAGUGUGCAUUCUUAAUAUCUUAUUAUCAAGGCAAUGUACGUGUGCAAUGCAAUCCCUAUCAAAAUACCAUGUGGACUUUCUUCAGAGAGUUGAUUCUGAGAAAGAGACAGUGACAUCCAGCAGCCAACCUGGCACUCCUAUUUAGGCCUCGGAGUUUCUAGAUCUGGCCCAACACUCAGAGCCAGGUUUAUAUCUCUAAGAAGAGAAAUGAUAGAUGGCAGAGAGACAGGAAAUACAGCGAAGAGGAUUUUGAGGGAAACAGAACUCUUAACUUCUUAAGCAACAACUCUCAAGACCACUAACAAAAGUCUGGGUGAGACACAGUGCCCAUGAGGAGCAGGAGCCACGUGGCCACUGAGGAUGACACAUUCGAUCUGAGAAGACCAGGGCGUUGCAGCAGAGGCUUUCCAUGCUGCAGUCAGAGAAACUCGUGGUCCAAGAAGAGCUGAGUCCAAUCAAAUAGAGACAGUGAGAAUUACUAUUUUGAUUUUUCACAAAGACUAAGUAAAAUGUCAGAUAAAAACAUGUAUUAAGGUGCAAUCUAUUUUCGAGGUUAAAAGUAUGGAUUAAAUACAGAGAAGCUGGGUUUGAAACCUUGGCUCUACUGUUUCUCUCUACGUGGUCUUGGGUAAAUUACUUGACCUCUCAAGGCCUAUUUCCUCAUUAGCAAAAUGGAAGUAAUAAUAGUAUCUGUGCAAUAAAAUUCUCGUUGGAUUAAUUGCCAUGAUGUGGGUGAGGUGUUCAGCUCAGUGCCUGGCACACAGUAGGUCUAUAAUUACUAUCAUGGUGGUGUUGGCGGCGACCACUAUGCAACCAAGUACAGAAAUCCUCAUGCUAAAAUCAAGGCAUUUGAAGCUUCAAACUGAAUUAGCUUUGUGGAGAAAAUUAUACUUUAAAAUAUUUCUAAAUAUAUUUUAACAUAAGGUUUUGAACUCUGACAGAAGAGUUAAAGUUUAACAAGUAUGACCCUGAGGCACCUGUGUGGCUCUGUCGGUUAAGCAUCUACUCUUGAUUCCCACUUGGGUCGUGAUCUCAGAGAUGUGAGAUCGAAUCCCACAUCAGGCUCCACGU
This is a long non-coding RNA of Canis lupus familiaris (dog), 2832 nucleotides long. RefSeq lists it as uncharacterized. The record is from RefSeq and is a predicted model, not a curated record. NCBI's taxonomy places the organism in Eukaryota, Metazoa, Chordata, Mammalia, Carnivora, Canidae. The transcript is spliced from 6 exons.